UGGGGAAUUUUGGACAAUGGGGGCAACCCUGAUCCAGCAAUGCCGCGUGUGUGAAGAAGGCCUUCGGGUUGUAAAGCACUUUUGUCCGGGAAGAAAUCGCACCUGAUAAUACCGGGUGUGGAUGACGGUACCGGAAGAAUAAGGACCGGCUAACUACGUGCCAGCAGCCGCGGUAAUACGUAGGGUCCAAGCGUUAAUCGGAAUUACUGGGCGUAAAGCGUGCGCAGGCGGUUGUGCAAGACCGAUGUGAAAUCCCCGGGCUUAACCUGGGAAUUGCAUUGGUGACUGCACGGCUAGAGUGUGUCAGAGGGGGGUAUAAUUCCACGUGUAGCAGUGAAAUGCGUAGAGAUGUGGAGGAAUACCGAUGGCGAAGGCAGCCCCCUGGGAUAACACUGACGCUCAUGCACGAAAGCGUGGGGAGCAAACAGG
Molecule: ribosomal RNA, 429 nt
Filed under: Bacillota bacterium
Lineage: Bacteria; Bacillati; Bacillota
Description: Firmicutes bacterium partial 16S ribosomal RNA
Rfam family: Bacterial small subunit ribosomal RNA
Source: RNAcentral